RNAcentral lists this ribosomal RNA (497 nucleotides) under uncultured bacterium. RNAcentral describes it as "partial 16S ribosomal RNA". It matches the Rfam family "Bacterial small subunit ribosomal RNA", at positions 899 to 1397 of the family's 1533-position model. The record is from RNAcentral.
ACUCAAAUGAAUAGACGGGGACCCGCACAAGCGGUGGAGCAUGUGGUUUAAUUCGAUGCAACGCGAAGAACCUUACCUACCCUUGACAUCCUUCGAAUCUUGCAGAGAUGCAGGAGUGCCGAAAGGAGCGAAGAGACAGGUGCUGCAUGGCUGUCGUCAGCUCGUGUCGUGAGAUGUUGGGUUAAGUCCCGUAACGAGCGCAACCCUUGUCCUUAGUUGCCAUCAUUAAGUUGGGAACUCUAAGGAGACUGCCGGUGAUAAACCGGAGGAAGGUGGGGAUGAGGUCAAGUCAUCAUGGCCUUUAUGGGUAGGGCUACACACGUGCUACAAUGGUCGGUACAAAGGGAAGCGAAGCUGCGAGGUGGAGCGAAACUCAAAAAACCGAUCUUAGUCCGGAUUGGAGUCUGCAACUCGACUCCAUGAAGCUGGAAUCGCUAGUAAUCGCGGAUCAGAACGCCGCGGUGAAUACGUUCUCGGGUCUUGUACACACCGCCCGU